This 265-nucleotide ribosomal RNA is filed under the name uncultured bacterium. RNAcentral describes it as "partial 16S ribosomal RNA". It matches the Rfam family "Bacterial small subunit ribosomal RNA", at positions 793 to 1055 of the family's 1533-position model. The record is from RNAcentral.
GUCCACACUGUAAACGAUGAAUGCUAGGUGUAGGGGCGAUUUCGCUUCUGUGCCGCAGUUAACACAAUAAGCAUUCCACCUGGGGAGUACGGCCGCAAGGUUGAAACUCAAAGGAAUUGACGGGAGCCCGCACAAGCAGUGGAGUAUGUGGUUUAAUUCGACGCAACGCGAAGAACCUUACCGAAGCUUGACAUCCCAGGAAGACUGCUGUAAUGGCGGUUGUGCCCUUCGGGGAACCUGGUGACAGGUGGUGCAUGGUUGUCGU